This 254-nucleotide ribosomal RNA is filed under the name uncultured bacterium. RNAcentral describes it as "partial 16S ribosomal RNA". It matches the Rfam family "Bacterial small subunit ribosomal RNA", at positions 524 to 776 of the family's 1533-position model. The record is from RNAcentral.
UACGAAGGGGGCGAGCGUUUGUUCGGAAUUACUGGGCGUAAAGGGCGCGCAGGCGGCCUUAGAAGUCAGAUGUGAAAGCCCCGGGCUCAACCUGGGAAUGGCAUUUGAUACUCUGAGGCUGGAGUACGGGAGAGGAGAGUGGAAUUCCCAGUGUAGAGGUGAAAUUCGUAGAUAUUGGGAAGAACACCGGUGGCGAAGGCGGCUCUCUGGACCGUAACUGACGCUGAGGCGCGAAAGCGUGGGGAGCAAACAGG